CAAGAGCGUAUGUAAAAGUUGUUGCAGUUAAAAAGCUCGUAGUUGAACCUUGGGUUUGGUUGGCCGGUCCGCUUUUUUGCGAGUACUGGAUUCAACCGAGCCUUUCCUUCUGGCUAACCAGUCGUUUCGGCGGCUGGCGAACCAGGAUUUUUACUUUGAGAAAAUUAGAGUGUUCAAAGCAGGCAUUAGCUUGAAUAUAUUAGCAUGGAAUAAUAGAAUAGGACGUUAUGGUUCUAUUUUGUUGGUUUCUAGGACCAUCGUAAUGAUUAAUAGGGACGGUCGGGGGCAUCAGUAUUCAGUUGUCGGAGGUGAAAUUCUUGGAUUUACUGAAGACUAACUACUGCGAAAGCAUUUGCCAAGGACGUUUUCAUUAA
RNAcentral lists this ribosomal RNA (374 nucleotides) under uncultured eukaryote. RNAcentral's name for it is "partial 18S ribosomal RNA". It matches the Rfam family "Eukaryotic small subunit ribosomal RNA", at positions 592 to 976 of the family's 1831-position model. The record is from RNAcentral.